This 288-nucleotide ribosomal RNA is filed under the name Escherichia coli. RNAcentral's name for it is "partial 23S ribosomal RNA". It matches the Rfam family "Bacterial large subunit ribosomal RNA", at positions 1 to 280 of the family's 2925-position model. The record is from RNAcentral. Lineage: Bacteria; Pseudomonadati; Pseudomonadota; Gammaproteobacteria; Enterobacterales; Enterobacteriaceae.
GGGUUGUGAGGUUAAGCGACUAAGCGUACACGGUGGAUGCCCUGGCAGUCAGAGGCGAUGAAGGACGUGCUAAUCUGCGAUAAGCGUCGGUAAGGUGAUAUGAACCGUUAUAACCGGCGAUUUCCGAAUGGGGAAACCCAGUGUGAUUCGUCACACUAUCAUUAACUGAAUCCAUAGGUUAAUGAGGCGAACCGGGGGAACUGAAACAUCUAAGUACCCCGAGGAAAAGAAAUCAACCGAGAUUCCCCCAGUAGCGGCGAGCGAACGGGGAGGAGCCCAGAGCCUGAA